CCUACGGGUGGUAGCAGUGGGGAAUAUUGGGCAAUGGGCGCAAGCCUGACCCAGCAACGCCACGUGAAGGAAGAAGGCUUUCGGGUUGUAAACUUCUUUUCUCAGGGACGAAGCAAGUGACGGUACCGGAGGAAUAAGCCACGGCUAACUACGGGCCAGCAGCCGCGGGAAUACGGAGGUGGCAAGCGUUAUCCGGAUUUACUGGGUGUAAAGGGCGGGUAGGCGGGGACGAAAGUCAGAGUUGCAAACCACGGGCUCAACCGGUGGCCUGCAUUGGAAACUGUGUUUCUUGCGUACUGGAGCGGCAGACGGAAUUCCUAGUGUAGCGGUGAAAUGCGUAGAUAUUAGGAGGAACACCCGUGGCGGCGGCGGUCUGCUGGACCGCAACUGACGCUGAGGCGCGAACGCGUGGGGAGCAAACAGGAUUAGAUACCCUGGUAGUC
This 443-nucleotide ribosomal RNA is filed under the name uncultured bacterium. RNAcentral's name for it is "partial 16S ribosomal RNA". It matches the Rfam family "Bacterial small subunit ribosomal RNA", at positions 338 to 795 of the family's 1533-position model. The record is from RNAcentral.